Molecule: transfer-messenger RNA, 409 nt
Filed under: Mycoplasmoides fastidiosum
Lineage: Bacteria; Bacillati; Mycoplasmatota; Mycoplasmoidales; Mycoplasmoidaceae
Also listed under: 1 other name
Rfam family: transfer-messenger RNA
About the family: Bacterial tmRNA, also known as 10Sa RNA or SsrA, is named for its dual tRNA and mRNA-like properties. Its role is to liberate the mRNA from a stalled ribosome.
Source: RNAcentral
GGGAGUGUCAAGGUUUCGACGUGAUUUUUGGACAUGUGAAUGCAGUGGGGUUAGCCCCUUAUAGCUGAAGGUCUUAAUAACCGCAAAUAAACAAACAAACUACGAAGAAGUGGAUGUAAAUCUACUGGCUUCACAAAGCUUAGCUCUAAACGUUUAACUUUUUACAAAUAAAACUUAUAUACGUUUAACUUUUUAAGCAAAAACUGUUGGUUAGUGCAUAAAUAACUAACUUUUAUCCCUUAUGCUCUAUCAAAAAGCCUGAUUGAACUUUUUGGUGAACUUUUCAAUCUUACUAAUUAUUUGACUCGUUUCAGGUUUUAAUAGUUAGGAAAUUCUAAAUGAAACUAAACUGUAGACUUCAUUUGGAAGAAAAUUGCGGAAAGGGGUUCGAUUCCCCUCACUUCCACCA